Molecule: non-coding RNA, 21 nt
Filed under: Caenorhabditis elegans
Lineage: Eukaryota; Metazoa; Nematoda; Chromadorea; Rhabditida; Rhabditidae
Source: RNAcentral
UUUUCUACCGCGGCAAAUUAA